CGCUCUCACGUGGCCAAUCAUUUCUUCUCCUAUUUUAUGUUAAGUCUAUGCGCCCUUGUUUCGGAUGAUUGCCGUCAUUUUUUGCGGCUUACAAUGAUGUACGGAAACCUUACAAGGGAAAGAGCCGAUGGAUUCAUGGUUGUAAUCGUUGAACGACUGAAGGAGUGUCUAGUUGGGCCGAGUUAGCGUUACAGAGCAGUUAAAGCAGUGGCAGUUAGAUCAAUAGAAAUGCGAUAGGAACGGCCAAAUGUUGUUAAUCAGAAAAAUCAACAAUGCAGUUUAUGUACUACAGUUUUACCUCGCUUAUCACCUCAGUAAAGCCCCGUCAAACGCCUAACAAUCGUAAGUGGAGUCGAAUCCUUAAAAAAAUACAGGAAUAUGAACGGUAUGUACGAAAACUUUCAGUUUAGCAGCUAAUCGGCAAGCAAGUCUCAUUGAAGCGGAAAGCAUGGACGCAGAUUUUUUAUAUAUUUAUAUAUAAAAAUAUAUAUAUGUAUAUUUUAGGUACACCAAUCGCUAGAAGAGCAAUGUGAUCAGCAUAAGAUUACGUAAUUACAAAAAGAAGGGUAUCUAAAGCAACCUGCAAAUAGCGAGUAAUCAAAGGACCCCGCCGAACAGUGACCCAAAGAUAUUUUAUAAUUAUAGUUGUAGGAGAACAACUCUAAAGAGCUAACUGAAUUCUAUUAGACGCCCAAAUGGGACAUUCACGACGGAUGAUCGCGGAAAAAGCACAAAUUGUGCUAUCUUUGAAUCAGCAUAUAUGUGCCAAAAUAUGAAUCGCUGCAACGCAACCAAAGGCAUCCUGCCUUGCUCCCUAAAAGUCCCCUCGAAUUUUCCGUCCAUCUUGUAAAUAGAUUUAGCCCAGUAAUCAUACUGGGAAUUGCUAACCAAAGCUUUGCGAUUGCCGUCUUACUUAUAUUAUAGGCUCAGGAUCUCAUUUUUUGCUCUUUUUUCACAAUUUUUUGGACAACCUUGCGAGUGUGCUGAGGCGCUAGGCAGAUUCCAAUUAGCUGAAUAGUAUGACGCUGGCGUUAUUAGCUAUCGUGGCAUGCAUGCAAUGUGAUCGAACAAUUCAUGCAACUACUUACAAUCAAGAACUGAUCCCUGAUGCUUAGCUUGUUUACAAACCGAUACAAGACGCCAAGCUAUUAGAAACACGCUCUGAAUAAGCAAAGUUCAUUAACAUGUCUGACUGUUUCAAAGCGAAUCACCCAUUCCACUAUUCUAUACUAAAAAAGAUCGAAAAUUUUCUCAGCAAUAGCGUACAUUUUGUGUUAGAGUCGAUAGGAAGUACUCAAAUCCCCCUUGAGCCUCGUCAAGUUGCACUGAUGGUAUAAUCCUGGAGCCUCUUAUCUAUAUCUUGUUGAUGAAUCCUGUCGAUGUUGGAUUCAAUAAUCCAAAAUUGUACGCUUUCUUGUAAAAAUUGAUGUAAAAAUAUGCUAAAGAACUGGCAAACACAAUACGGUGGAACUGUUUCAAUAUAUCCUCAACAAAGCUUUAAAAUGAUCCAAUAGAUCAAAUUUGAAUCUAUCCGCUGAAAAUGUACUUUGCGCACGGAAAUCCCAAUCGUGUAUAUUUUAUUGGGUAAUUCAAUUUACCGAGAGUAAAAACCAUUUACAAUCUAAAGGUUUCGAUGACUAGUAUCUUACAUAGAACGCGCAAAUGAUAAAAAUUCGCCUACGACAUGCCGUGGUAAAUAAAUUUUACGUUCAUUCUAAAAUGCCCACCCCACCGAGUAUAAAGAUAAAAUAUCUUAUGGACCUGACCGUCAAUCGGCAUUUUGCCACGAGAAUUCUUUAGGACGGAAUCGCCGAAUCUAUUAAGAAUGUUUUCGACACAUUGUUAAAGAUCUUCUUAAAUGUUCUCAGCAAUUAGUAUGCCGUCCCGGCAUUCAACGACACCUGGUAAAUUCAGCUUCCAGAAUCUUCCAUAGACAUUUGCAUAAAUAUGAAUAAGCUUCUGUGGAUAUUUAUUACAAAAAUUAUUAUUUUGUACAAAACUCUGGAAUCCUUAUUGGACGGGGUGAUGCAUAUAUUGCAGCGUUGAGGCCUGUUUUGGUAUAACAUUUUGCUGCUUGUAUUUUGUAAAAAAAACAGUUGGCUAUUGUCCUCAAAGGGUAGCCUACAGAUAUUCAUUCAAAUUUAUACAAAUGUCUAUGGGUACUCUGGAUCAAGUUGACCAAAGAAAAUAGACACGAGCUUGGAAACACAAGGGAAGAAUAUUACGUCGGAAACGUUUUUAACGAAUUUGACAAUUAUGCCUUAAGCAUCAACGGAGAGAAACGUAGAGUCAUAACCGGUCCGAAACCAAGCGAAGGGAGUACUUCAAAAUCUGCAAGUGAGAUUUUUGCAAUUAAUGAAAACACCAAACCUAAAGAAUAGUUUCGAAUAAAAAGGAACCGUUUGGUGAGGAAAAAUUUGACUCUCUAUUUGCACCGGGACUAGCGAACAUUAAAAAAUCACUAAAUGAACCAUUACAGACAAACAUUAUGUUCGCAUGAUCUGAUGAAAAGAUAAACUAAGUCACUACAUUGAUUACUAAUGCCAUUUGAUUUUUUUAAACUAAUGGAAUGUAGAUUGAGGUCUUAUCUCAGAUAUUUCUCGACAAAGCCUAUAAUAUGUUCUGUAGUAUUCUACUCUAGAAACCUGUUCAGGUUUGAACAGAAAUACGCAGUUAAAAGCUUCAACAGUAAGAGGAAGGUUAAAAAAUCAUUAUUUAUUUGCACGGAAACUGAUUAAUUCCCUUGUAACUGAUAAUCAAGCCUUUUUAUUAAUAUUUUCCUCAGACAAAGUCAUACUUCCAAAGAAAUGUCUACAGAGAUCCGUCGUUUUUCAUCUCGACUUCGAUCGAUGUGUGACACUGAAGAACUCAGAUGAGCAUGCAAAUGCGAACGACUUUCACGUUUAUCUUAGAGUUGUGAUGACCUACCAUCAAUAUAUAUUCCGCAAGUUCUCUGCAUCAAUAACUUGCCUCAGUACCAAUCUACUGAAAACAAUAAGGGUAGAUACAACGUGUACAACAAUGUUACUUUCAGAUUUUUCAAUUGAUUGCCGAUGACGAUAUUGCCAGAGCCCUGCGGAAAUAAAUCAUCAAGGAACUGCAGAUGGUACACUUUAUGACAGAUCAAAUGAAAGGCCAACAAUUGAUAAUGAUUCCAAUAUAUAAUCUUCAGGUGUGGAGUCUUGCAAAAGUCAAGAGACACUUCUGGGAAAAUCUACCGGUUCCUUUUCUUACAACUUUGCAAAGCUCUGCUAGUCUGUAUAGAUAAUUAAGCUUAUCGACCUGGGGAGCGCAAGAAGUUCCUAACAGCUUUCGUCUUUCCCGCUUUGUGUCUGGAAUCAAAUGUCCAGCGAUAACGAAAAGCCACAGUUUAGAGCAGCGCUUGAUUAUAAGAAAAACCUUAUUGCUUAUUACUUUAUAUCGAGAUAUUUUUCAUUCACAAUAUCGAGAUGGGAAACUUAUAACGGUCACACUCCAUAAGUUGUUACGACUCAUUUUUAGCUGAAUAGAUAUGCGGGUGGUGAACCCUGUUGGACUUGGGACUCAGCGAAUCCACGGGUGAGCGCUGAACAACUACUUCACUCAUUGUGUAGCGCAGCUUGUAGAACCCACUUUAUAGUUGUGGGCCCCGCUAGCAGUGAUUAGCAGACUCCUUAGUGAAAAUAAUAACACCGAAGUGACAACCAUACAUGUUCAGUGUAAAACAUUCACACGCGCUGGUUAAUGGGAAAAAGUAGUAAGCGAAUGAUAUGCAAUAUACUAGCAAACAGUUAAAACAAUUUAUUCUCCAAAAAAGGAUCCCACACCACAGAUUAAUGAUAAAAUGCCAUCCUACAAGCUAUGGUAUUGCGAAUGACAGUUGAAGCGCACCUCGUGAAGAGGCCGGACAAUGAUGUCAGUGAAACACCAGCUUGAGACGAAGGGAAACACUCCUCUAGAUAGGGCUACGAAAUAAAUUUCCUAGCAUAUAUUAAACAGCAAAACACAUAACACGACCGGAAGAAAGCUAGAUUCUACAUAACACAAAGAAUACGUUUCGGAUUAAUAUGUAAAAGAUACGUAGACCAAAUUAGGCGAAUAGGAAACAGUUAUAGUGUUUCUCAGAAAAUAAAAGAAAUAUAGCACUUAUUUCUACUAUAUCUAGAUAAUACACAAGGGUUCCAUUAUUGUAGUGAGAAACUAAAUAGUCGUUAACAAUAUUAUUAUUUACUGUCGUAGAGAUCGGGCUCGAUUAGCAAACGGAGAAAAGGCCAUGGGUCGAUCUUCAGUGACGCUGUUUCGUUGCAACGUUAAAAUGUCUACAGCUUAGGUGACCUGAGCAGAGAUGAUCACGAAUAAGCAUGAAAACCGUUGUAUUCUGACAUAUCAUCUAUGUACAUAUAUAUACAUAAGUCAAUAAUACAAUUCCCCAUUAGUUGAAAAUGUCUAGAUUAUAAUGGAGUCUAAUUGCUUGCUUAGUUUGGUAAUUUUCAUAUUUGAAGUUUUACGUCCGGUACUGCCGUUAAGCAUCAAUUCAGUUAGCUCUUUUAGUUUUCAGCACGAAACGAAGUUUGUCUGCGCCCGGUUCUGGUCAGAGGUUCUUAGACACCGCACGAGGACGAUGUUCGAUUGUCUGAAUGAAGAAAAUGUUGUUGUUGUGAUAGAUAGUCUAACGAUUCAUUUCGACAGCGGCGCUUAUCCAAACGUUACGUUUAUAAAAUGUAUGUAUUGCCUCUAGUUGUAGCUAAUGCAUGAAAUGAAGAGAUCAAAUAUUUAUGGCAAUAGUUUAAGGAGAGUCAAAUUGGCCCUUGGCGUUUUAUCGCGCCAAAAAUCCCUUGGAUUUUCGACUCGCGGACCGACAUGGCCUCAGAUACUUGAUGCGCUCAAUCUAUGACCACUUGUAGCAAGUGGUCAUAGAUUGAGCGCUGUGUACAAUAACUGGCGCAUCUAUUUAUCUGCGUCACUAUGAAGUUCAGCUGAGUAGCGAACGGAUCGAGAAUUCACUUGCAAUUAUUGUAAAAACUAAUUCUUAAACGAUCAAAAGGAACACUCGUAACGAUCCCCAAGAUCCCCGAACUUGUGUAAUUUCAUAAAGUAAAGAACGUCGACUGCAUAUUUUUACAUUUCAUUGGGAAUCGUUUUCUCCUUGACCAGUAUAAUAAAGUCUGCAGUAUAAUAAGGACAGUUGUUAUUAUUUUAACGAAAUUGUUAGAAGUGAACGAAUAACGAAAUUUCAUUCGCCGCAGAUGUCAGGUUUUUCGUGCCUUCAAGUGCGAAUAUACACAUUGGUACAUUGAUACGAGCUAUAUUAAAGACGUUCAAACCUAGCCACUCUUUCAAUGCUACUGAUCUGGGGCUGCGCAUCCGCUCAGAUGGAGUCGGGCGGUUUUUUCAAAGUUGUCUUAUAAGGUGAUGAUAUCUCAAUGGCACGAGUUUGUCUAGACGACAAACACAAAAGGAAUCUGCUAUUCCUUAGAACCGAGCUACCGGAUAAACGAAAUUUAGUUCUUGUUCAUCACGUAACGGGAGGUAGAAUUGGCGCUGUUAGACUUUCUUGAUCCUGUGUAUGGAUGCGCAUGCGCACACAGUACUUAUCUUAAACCGUGCGAUUAAGUACAAGAGAGUUGUUAAAUUAUCAACAGUCAUAUAAUCUCAUUAUAUCGAUUCGCAGUCACGUUUCAAAAUAUCGUCUCUGCACAGUGUCUAUGCAGAGAUAUUAGUGUUAGAUGAAAUGAUAAGAAGUGUUCAAUUGCAGUAAACGUACCAAACAUGUUGUCAUACAUAUAUAUAUAUAUAUAUAUAUAUAUAAAGGGAUUUAGUCUACCUUUAGGAAAUUGUUAGCGAAUUAAUGUAGAUGAUCAUAAUACUAUGUAUUAUGGUAGCACAGGCAUUUUGUAGUAUAGUAGCUAUCUUUAAGCUGUACCAAUUUGUACCGAAAAUGAGCCGAUUUUGUGUAGCUGGCAGACAUAGCAGUACAGCAGGUAAGUUUGUAUACCUUAUCUUUUUUGUCCCUUUCGAGUUCUCAUGCAUCGACUAUUACAAUGAUAAAACUUGAAUAAAUUACCUCAGAUAGAUACAAUGGCGUACAUAGACGCGAUGUAGUUCACUUAGUAUAAGUGAAACUAUGAGCUAACUGGUUUGAGGCAGGUGUCUUAUAUGCUGAGAAAAAAAAAAUUAAGCGUUGCUGGUAGACUAUUCUUAGGUGUCCGUCCAUACUAACGCGAUGACCACCGGCUACUGUUGCAGAAGGAGGCCCAGUUCGACUGAUUUUUCGAAAGAAACCAGCGCCAUACCAACUCAGUCAUUCAGGACGGCGUAGAAAUACUGAGCGACGUCUUGCGAAUAGGCGUGGCAUAUUUCUAACAAGUACAAUAAGUAUGUGGAACCACCAAAAGAGCACAAAACGAAAAACAAAGGGGGCCGGUUCGAGAGCUAGUUUGGUGUGGAAAACCAAAAUUUCUAACGAUCAAUCCAGGACACCCAAGCCCCUCAGAGUUGAGAGACCUUAUGAAACCGGAUGAACUCCGGCCUGCUGCAGGCCUAUCUGAGCCUCGCGGAAGAUCCAGUAUGCGCCGCCCGUGACAAGUUUGGCGUGGUGCAUCGUGCUAUCCUGAAAGACAGUUCUCCUACAGGCUAUGUGGUUUGGUUAAUCGAUAAUUACAGGAAGAUAAUUGCUGCUUUACCCACAGACUAUCACCCUGAGCAGAUGCACAAUGCUGCGCUUAGUGUUAGAGUGGCCCAAUGCCAAAGCCGAUUCCUAGGCAAAAGUAAGUCAGAGGAAGGAAAUCUUUCGACGGGCCGCAGGGUGAUUAUCAGCGUCCUUAGCCAUGGCCGAAAUGAAUCGAUAGGGCCAACCGUCCUUAUCUUUGAUGAAAAUUUUGAAUCCAUUACCCACGUGUCAAGCCGCUUGUAAAACGGUCCUCCGCAAUCUCGGAUGGUCACCACCAUGAAUUCCUUAUCAUUCUGGGUUUCAAGCGCAUCUAUGUAUUCGUGAACCGCUGCCAGACCGUCAUCAUUGAGACUGCGACACAUCAUUCGGAUAACUGCGCCCACCGAUAAAUCACCGAAUGCUGAUGUCUGCUUUGUCAAGUUAUAUCAUUAAUAAAUUUCGCUUACUUUAUUUUCAGUGUAUAUAUAUAUAUAUAUAUAUGUACUGUUAUUCAACCAUUUAACGACAAUCGUACAUAUCAAAUAAAUCUAGCGGAUACUUUUCAAGCAGCCUAUACUUAAUCGUCGUCACCAAAAUGUGGUCAGUACGGGCUCGUGGACGGUGGGUUGGAAGGCACUACGAAGUGCAGUUAGAAAUAAAAGUGUG
This 7294-nucleotide long non-coding RNA is filed under the name Varroa destructor (honeybee mite). Its description in RNAcentral is "uncharacterized LOC111246899, transcript variant X4". Lineage: Eukaryota; Metazoa; Arthropoda; Arachnida; Mesostigmata; Varroidae. The record is from RNAcentral.